This 474-nucleotide ribosomal RNA is filed under the name uncultured organism. Its description in RNAcentral is "partial 16S ribosomal RNA". It matches the Rfam family "Bacterial small subunit ribosomal RNA", at positions 333 to 798 of the family's 1533-position model. The record is from RNAcentral.
ACACUCCUGCGGGAGGCAGCAGUGGGGAAUAUUGCACAAUGGGCGCAAGCCUGAUGCAGCCAUGCCGCGUGUAUGAAGAAGGCCUUCGGGUUGUAAAGUACUUUCAGCGGGGAGGAAGGCGAUAAGGUUAAUAACCUUGUUGAUUGACGUUACCCGCAGAAGAAGCACCGGCUAACUCCGUGCCAGCAGCCGCGGUAAUACGGAGGGUGCAAGCGUUAAUCGGAAUUACUGGGCGUAAAGCGCACGCAGGCGGUCUGUCAAGUCGGAUGUGAAAUCCCCGGGCUCAACCUGGGAACUGCAUUCGAAACUGGCAGGCUAGAGUCUUGUAGAGGGGGGUAGAAUUCCAGGUGUAGCGGUGAAAUGCGUAGAGAUCUGGAGGAAUACCGGUGGCGAAGGCGGCCCCCUGGACAAAGACUGACGCUCAGGUGCGAAAGCGUGGGGAGCAAACAGGAUUAGAUACCCCGGUAGUCCCAU